UACGGAGGGGGCUAGCGUUGUUCGGAAUUACUGGGCGUAAAGCGCACGUAGGCGGAUUGUUAAGUCGGAGGUGAAAUCCCGGAGCUCAACCCCGGAAUGGCCUUUGAAACUGGCGGGCUUGAGCUUUGGAGAGGCGAGUGGAAUUCCGAGUGUAGAGGUGAAAUUCGUAGAUAUUCGGAAGAACACCAGUGGCGAAGGCGACUUGCUGGACGAUUGUUGACGCUGAGGUGCGACAGCGUGGGGAGCAAACAGG
RNAcentral lists this ribosomal RNA (253 nucleotides) under uncultured bacterium. RNAcentral describes it as "partial 16S ribosomal RNA". It matches the Rfam family "Bacterial small subunit ribosomal RNA", at positions 524 to 776 of the family's 1533-position model. The record is from RNAcentral.